This 492-nucleotide ribosomal RNA is filed under the name uncultured bacterium. RNAcentral's name for it is "partial 16S ribosomal RNA". It matches the Rfam family "Bacterial small subunit ribosomal RNA", at positions 29 to 507 of the family's 1533-position model. The record is from RNAcentral.
AUUGAACGCUGGCGGCAUGCUUUACACAUGCAAGUCGAGCGGUAACAGGCCUUCGGGUGCUGACGAGUGGCGAACGGGUGAGUAAUGCAUCGGAACGUACCCAGAGGUGGGGGAUAACGCAGCGAAAGCUGUGCUAAUACCGCAUGUGAUCUGAGGAUGAAAGCGGGGGACCGAGCAGCAAUGUUUGGCCUCGCGCCUUUGGAGCGGCCGAUGUCGGAUUAGCUAGUUGGUGGGGUAAAGGCCUACCAAGGCGACGAUCCGUAGCUGGUCUGAGGGGACGACCAGCCACACUGGGACUGAGACACGGCCCAGACUCCUACGGGAGGCAGCAGUGGGGAAUUUUGGACAAUGGGCGCAAGCCUGAUCCAGCAAUGCCGCGUGCGGGAAGAAGGCCUUCGGGUUGUAAACCGCUUUUGGCAGGAACGAAACGGUGUCCGCUAAUACCGGGCGCUAAUGACGGUACCUGCAGAAUAAGCACCGGCUAACUACGUG